This 869-nucleotide ribosomal RNA is filed under the name Flammula alnicola. RNAcentral's name for it is "partial large subunit ribosomal RNA". It matches the Rfam family "Eukaryotic large subunit ribosomal RNA", at positions 53 to 907 of the family's 3401-position model. Lineage: Eukaryota; Fungi; Basidiomycota; Agaricomycetes; Agaricales; Strophariaceae. The record is from RNAcentral.
GAGGAAAAGAAACUAACAAGGAUUCCCCUAGUAACUGCGAGUGAAGCGGGAAAAGCUCAAAUUUAAAAUCUGGCGGUCUUUGGCCGUCCGAGUUGUAAUCUAGAGAAGUGUUAUCCGCGCUGGACCGUGUACAAGUCUCCUGGAAUGGAGCGUCAUAGAGGGUGAGAAUCCCGUCUUUGACACGGACUGCCAGGGCUUUGUGAUGCGCUCUCAAAGAGUCGAGUUGUUUGGGAAUGCAGCUCAAAAUGGGUGGUAAAUUCCAUCUAAAGCUAAAUAUUGGCGAGAGACCGAUAGCGAACAAGUACCGUGAGGGAAAGAUGAAAAGAACUUUGGAAAGAGAGUUAAACAGUACGUGAAAUUGCUGAAAGGGAAACGCUUGAAGUCAGUCGCGUUGGCCGGGGAUCAACCUUGCUUUUGCUGGGCGUACUUUCCGGUCGACGGGUCAGCAUCAAUUUUGAUCGUUGGAUAAAGGUUAGGGGAAUGUGGCAUCUUCGGAUGUGUUAUAGCCCUUGGUCGCAUACAACGGUUGGGAUUGAGGAACUCAGCACGCCGCAAGGCCGGGUACUUGUACCACGUUCGUGCUUAGGAUGCUGGCAUAAUGGCUUUAAUCGACCCGUCUUGAAACACGGACCAAGGAGUCUAACAUGCCUGCGAGUGUUUGGGUGGAAAACCCGAGCGCGUAAUGAAAGUGAAAGUUGAGAUCCCUGUCGUGGGGAGCAUCGACGCCCGGACCAGACCUUUUGUGACGGAUCCGCGGUAGAGCAUGUAUGUUGGGACCCGAAAGAUGGUGAACUAUGCCUGAAUAGGGUGAAGCCAGAGGAAACUCUGGUGGAGGCUCGUAGCGAUUCUGACGUGCAAAUCGAUCGUCA